GAUGAACGCUGGCGGCGUGCCUAACACAUGCAAGUCGAACGGGAUCCAUCAGGCUUUGCUUGGUGGUGAGAGUGGCGAACGGGUGAGUAAUGCGUGACCGACCUGCCCCAUACACCGGAAUAGCUCCUGGAAACGGGUGGUAAUGCCGGAUGCUCCAGUUGAUCGCAUGGUCUUCUGGGAAAGCUUUCGCGGUAUGGGAUGGGGUCGCGUCCUAUCAGCUUGACGGCGGGGUAACGGCCCACCGUGGCUUCGACGGGUAGCCGGCCUGGGAGGGGGACCGGCCACAUUGGGACUGGGAUACGGCCCAGACUCCUACGGGAGGCAGCAGUGGGGAAUAUUGCACAAUGGGCGCAAGCCUGAUGCAGCGACGCCGCGUGAGGGAUGGAGGCCUUCGGGUUGUAAACCUCUUUUAUCGGGGAGCAAGCGAGAGUGAGUUUACCCGUUGAAUAAGCACCGGCUAACUACGUGCCAGCCGCCGCCGUAA
Molecule: ribosomal RNA, 484 nt
Filed under: uncultured bacterium
Lineage: Bacteria
Description: partial 16S ribosomal RNA
Rfam family: Bacterial small subunit ribosomal RNA
Source: RNAcentral